This 253-nucleotide ribosomal RNA is filed under the name uncultured bacterium. RNAcentral describes it as "partial 16S ribosomal RNA". It matches the Rfam family "Bacterial small subunit ribosomal RNA", at positions 524 to 776 of the family's 1533-position model. The record is from RNAcentral.
UACAGAGGUCUCGAGCGUUGUUCGGAUUCAUUGGGCGUAAAGGGUGCGUAGGUGGCGCCGUAAGUCAGGUGUGAAAUUUCGGAGCUUAACUCCGAAACUGCAUUUGAUACUGCGGUGCUUGAGGACUGGAGAGGAGACUGGAAUUUACGGUGUAGCAGUGAAAUGCGUAGAGAUCGUAAGGAAGACCAGUGGCGAAGGCGGGUCUCUGGACAGUUACUGACACUGAGGCACGAAGGCCAGGGGAGCAAACGGG